GAUGAACGCUAGCGGCAGGCCUAACACAUGCAAGUCGAGGGGUAGAAGGAGCUUGCUCCUUUGAGACCGGCGCACGGGUGCGUAACGCGUAUGCAAUCUACCUUGUGCAGGGGAAUAGCCCAGAGAAAUUUGGAUUAAUGCCCCAUAGUAUAUAACCUUCGCAUGUUGGUUAUAUUAAAGUUCCAACGGUACAAGAUGAGCAUGCGUCCCAUUAGUUAGUUGGUAAGGUAACGGCUUACCAAGACGAUGAUGGGUAGGGGUCCUGAGAGGGAGAUCCCCCACACUGGUACUGAGACACGGACCAGACUCCUACGGGAGGCAGCAGUGAGGAAUAUUGGUCAAUGGUCGCAAGACUGAACCAGCCAUGCCGCGUGCAGGAAGACGGUCCUAUGGAUUGUAAACUGCUUUUAGACAGGAAGAAACCCUCCCACGUGUGGGAGCUUGACGGUACUGUAGGAAUAAGGAUCGGCUAACUCCGUG
RNAcentral lists this ribosomal RNA (480 nucleotides) under uncultured bacterium. RNAcentral's name for it is "partial 16S ribosomal RNA". It matches the Rfam family "Bacterial small subunit ribosomal RNA", at positions 28 to 507 of the family's 1533-position model. The record is from RNAcentral.